Molecule: long non-coding RNA, 661 nt
Filed under: Junco hyemalis (dark-eyed junco)
Lineage: Eukaryota; Metazoa; Chordata; Aves; Passeriformes; Passerellidae
Description: lncRNA (ENSJHYG00000009520.1)
Source: RNAcentral
UUCAUCAGGAUCACAGCUAACUCUGAAGAUUGACAAUAAGUUGCUCCUUUAGCUCAAAGAGCUUUCUUGCAAUUUCUCUUGCAAAGGACAUCUUUGUUUCCCCCUUCAACUUUUGUUGUAUUGCUGAAGGAUGGUCCAUGCCUUUCCCACAUCCUGUGGCACAGCAAGAGUAGCAGAGAAGAGAAGGCUUGAUUGUCAACAUCGCUCAAGAGUGACCUGGAGCUCAAGCAGUAGUGAUGUUCUCCAGACAGCUCUCCAUGGCUUCCCUAAGACACCAGUGAGCCACGAGACUGAGGCAGAAAUUCCAGUGUGGGGAGGGUGUGAGUCAUGAGAUGACACUGACCAUUAGGAAGACACUGCUGCAGAGUCUGAAACCAAACCAGCCUAUUCCUUGUUCUCAAGUCAUCUUGGGUUAGAAGCUGCUGAAAAACUUCCUUCUGGAUAAAUAACUGUGAUGUCCCCAUCAUCCCCAGAAUUGGAUUCCUUCACUGGGAUUGCUGAAACACUGGUCUGCUCCAAGGUUUCUCUCGUGGAAGAAUAGUUCAGCUUCACAACAGGAGUGAGAAAAGUUUAAAUGCUUUAGGGCUCACUCUCAGGCACAAGAUUUUAUUAUUUGAGCUUUUGUUUGGAAAUAAAUUGAGUUCUUGUCAUAGAUUGGGCA